Non-coding RNA from Schistocephalus solidus, 72 nucleotides. The record is from Rfam. NCBI's taxonomy places the organism in Eukaryota, Metazoa, Platyhelminthes, Cestoda, Diphyllobothriidea, Diphyllobothriidae.
GAGCCCAUGGCUCAAUGGUAGAGCGUUCGAAUCAAAUACCAAAAACUGCAGGUUCGAAUCCCGGGUGGUUCA